RNAcentral lists this transfer RNA (360 nucleotides) under uncultured Microcystis sp. RNAcentral's name for it is "partial 16S-23S ribosomal RNA intergenic spacer". The stretch from base 136 to 209 matches the Rfam family "tRNA". The record is from RNAcentral. Lineage: Bacteria; Bacillati; Cyanobacteriota; Cyanophyceae; Chroococcales; Microcystaceae.
AAAGGGAGACCUAAUUCAGGUAGGCGACGAAAAAAAAGUAGUCCCAACCAAGAAUCAAUCCCAAAAGGUCGGAGCGAGGCAAGAUUGGCUUUCAAACUAGGUUCUGGGUUCACACAAGACCUGAAUCAGGAACAAGGGCUAUUAGCUCAGGUGGUUAGAGCGCACCCCUGAUAAGGGUGAGGUCCCUGGUUCGAGUCCAGGAUGGCCCACCUGCACAGGUGGAAAAAAGAAAAAAGCGAGGAAUCAGCACCUUAUCUUACUUAUAUAGUAAGAGAGAAUGCUGGCUCUGAGUUCAGAGUCCAGAGGAACCUUGAAAACUGCAUAGAGCUAGGUGAAAAAGCCAAAAAAGAAGACCGCAAG